This 426-nucleotide ribosomal RNA is filed under the name uncultured bacterium. Its description in RNAcentral is "bacterial SSU rRNA". It matches the Rfam family "Bacterial small subunit ribosomal RNA", at positions 917 to 1344 of the family's 1533-position model. The record is from RNAcentral.
GGGCCCGCACAAGCGGUGGAGUAUGUGGUUUAAUUCGAUGCAACGCGAAGAACCUUACCAGGGUUUGACAUCCUGCGAAUCUUUUGGAAACGAGAGAGUGCCUUCGGGAACGCAGUGACAGGUGGUGCAUGGCUGUCGUCAGCUCGUGUCGUGAGAUGUUGGGUUAAGUCCCGCAACGAGCGCAACCCACGUCUUUAGUUGCCAGCAUUUAGUUGGGCACUCUAGAGAGACUGCCGGUGAUAAACCGGAGGAAGGUGUGGAUGACGUCAAGUCAUCAUGCCCCUUACGUCCUGGGCUACACACGUACUACAAUGCUACGGACAAAGAGCAGCUAACUCGCGAGAGUACGCAAAUCUCAUAAACCGUGGCUCAGUUCAGAUCGUAGGCUGCAACUCGCCUACGUGAAGGAGGAAUCGCUAGUAAUCG